This 526-nucleotide ribosomal RNA is filed under the name uncultured bacterium. RNAcentral describes it as "bacterial SSU rRNA". It matches the Rfam family "Bacterial small subunit ribosomal RNA", at positions 524 to 1050 of the family's 1533-position model. The record is from RNAcentral.
UACGUAGGGGGCGAGCGUUGUCCGGAAUUACUGGGCGUAAAGGGUGCGUAGGCGGCCUUUUAAGUCAGAUGUGAAAGGCUGCGGCUUAACCGCAGGACUGCAUUUGAAACUGGAAGGCUUGAGUGUCGGAGAGGGUAGUGGAAUUCCCAGUGUAGCGGUGAAAUGCGUAGAUAUUGGGAGGAACACCAGUGGCGAAGGCGACUACCUGGACGAUAACUGACGCUGAGGCACGAAAGCUAGGGGAGCAAACAGGAUUAGAUACCCUGGUAGUCCUAGCCGUAAACGAUGGGUACUAGGUGUAGGUGGUUUCGAUACCAUCUGUGCCGCAGUUAACGCAAUAAGUACCCCGCCUGGGGAGUACGGUCGCAAGACUGAAACUCAAAGGAAUUGACGGGGGCCCGCACAAGCGGUGGAGCAUGUGGUUUAAUUCGAAGCAACGCGAAGAACCUUACCAGGUCUUGACAUCCCUGGACAGCCAUGGAAACAUGGUGUUCCUUCGGGACCAGGAGACAGGUGGUGCAUGGUU